This 342-nucleotide ribosomal RNA is filed under the name uncultured Pseudomonadota bacterium. Its description in RNAcentral is "bacterial SSU rRNA". It matches the Rfam family "Bacterial small subunit ribosomal RNA", at positions 29 to 351 of the family's 1533-position model. Lineage: Bacteria; Pseudomonadati; Pseudomonadota. The record is from RNAcentral.
AAUGAACGCUGGCGGCGUGCUUAACACAUGCAAGUCGAACGAGAAAUCCUUAGCUUGCUAGGGAGAGUAAAGUGGCGCACGGGUGAGUAUCGCGUGGGUAAUCUACCCUUGGAUUCAGGAUAACAUUUCGAAAGGGGUGCUAAUACUGGAUAACAUCCUGAUGGUUUUGGCCAUAAGGAUCAAAGAUAGCCUCUACAUGUAAGCUAUUGUUCAGGGAUGAGCCCGCGUACCAUUAGCUAGUUGGUGGGGUAAGAGCCUACCAAGGCGACGAUCCAUAGCUGGUCUGAGAGGAUGAUCAGCCACACUGGGACUGAGACACGGCCCAGACUCCUACGGGUGCAG